RNAcentral lists this unclassified non-coding RNA (275 nucleotides) under uncultured fungus. RNAcentral describes it as "partial contains 5.8S ribosomal RNA, internal transcribed spacer 2, and large subunit ribosomal RNA". The record is from RNAcentral. Lineage: Eukaryota; Fungi.
AACGCAUAUUGCACCUCUCCGGAGGUAUGCCUGUUUGAGAAUCUAUAGUAUCUUUUCCCCAGUGUCUCUGGCCUGGGGGAGAUUUGGGGCGUCUCGCUCGAGUGCCCUUAAAGCUAUAGCUUGACACUGACCGAGUGCUAGAGCGUAUGUAUUUGAAACUCUCCGAGUACCUGUACGAAACUCUGGCGCGAGCUCGCUCUGGGCCAAGUCCACCACGGAGGUUGAAAAACCCGAACCAUGGUCUCAAAUCAGGUAGGAGGACCCGCUGAACUUAA